Long non-coding RNA from Nicotiana attenuata, 1704 nucleotides. RefSeq lists it as uncharacterized. Lineage: Eukaryota; Viridiplantae; Streptophyta; Magnoliopsida; Solanales; Solanaceae. The transcript is spliced from 2 exons. The record is from RefSeq and is a predicted model, not a curated record.
ACUUCUCUUCAAGUCGCAACUCCCACUUGAACGGUCGACGUUGUUUCUGUUGACCUCGAUUCUUCUCCUUCUCCAAAUACCUUUUUUCUUUAAACAAAUCCUUUUACAAGUCACAAAUCUCUCAAUUCACCUUCACCAAUGGCUUCUAUGGCUGUGUCACAUCUAUCUUCUCCACUCUCAGUUAUCAAAAGGGCUUUGAGAAUGCCUCCCUUCCUUUGCCCAGUGGAAGAAUAUUAUGCCAAAAACUGAAACCCCAAUUGAAUUGAGUAAUGUAUUAAUCCAUUUAUUUGCUUUUUUUCCCCUUCAUACGCAUGCUCUUUAGCUCCUUCAAAUGUUUGGAAUUUUGAUUUGCUUAUUAGGGUACCCAACAUUUCCUAGUGGGAUGGAAGUAAUCAGAUUCCGAGAUUUUGCCCCAUCGGUUUGCAUUUGUUAUCUGUUUGUAAAAAUGUGCUUAAUUUGUUUCAUUAUUGACUUGAAAUGACAAAUUAGUUAAUGUUGGAAUGAAAUGGACUCGAAUAGAGUGGAAUGGAUAUGCAGGACAUAUAUAGUAGUUGAUUUUUUCUUCUAACUACAUAUUUCAAGACUAAAAAGGAAAGAUUGACAUAAGGCAUAGUUGGUUGAUUCAUUUGUUUCAGCAAUGUGAUUGAUUUACUGAUGAGGGCUGCAUUAUUUUCAGUUUACCUGUUUGUUCUAGUGGGUAGAGUGAUUGAAUAGAAUCCGGGAGUGUCACCUCUCACCUGUGGCUAUAAUGAAUAUGACUAUCAAUAAUAACUUCUUUCUUGGGCAUUUCCCUGAGCUAUCAUUAUGUAUAUGACUUGUUUCUUCAUUCCAUGACUGAUACUGAAUGUGCAUUUCUGUUGGUUCAACGGUCUUGCCUUAUUGAGUGUGGCAUGUUUAGAGUUCCUCUUUUUAAAAUCGAAGUAAUUGGAUAAAUUUGGUUUCUUAUUACCAACUUCAGAUUUUCAGGCCAAUGCUAAUAUAACUGAUGAUAGUUCUAAACUUUUCUCAUGUGGCGUGUUGCUUCAUGUCGUUACCGAACAGAUAGGUGAAGUCCUUAAUUUCACGAGUUACUCUUACCCAAGCUGGUGGCUCGGUUAUGAUUGUAACCUGAAGGGUCAGGCUCCAGAGUGAACUUCUUCUUAGCUGGAAAGACAAAGUAAGGUUCAGGAAGCCAGUGAUGGACUGGUGGCUGGAAAUACCUUGGAUGGAUGCGAAUUUCCUAUAUCUGCGAGCAAAGGUCCCGUUGUCCUUCCGUGCAUUGGUAUGACAAUCCUUAUUCUUGCUGUAUGAUAUCUUGGUCUUAUAACCCCAGAAGGCAGCAACUCACUGACAAUGCUACCUUCCUGGUUGAAUUAUGUUGUGAAUGUUUUUGCCGCAUUUUGGUCAAAUUAUCAAUUGAGACUGCAAAUUAUGCUCAUUCUUGAACUAGGUUCUUCAGAUGUUAAGUCUUGAUUAUUGAAUCAUUUGAUUGGAAUUUUUACUACCAUAUCUCAGCCUCUGUAUUGUUACAAUUUUUAUACUGUAAUACUUGGGCCAGAGUAAUCUUAAAUGUUUUCUUGAAGUAUAUAAAUUAUGUAAGAUGAUAAACUGUCUCAAGGGAAGAAUUUGAAUUUUCUCAAGGAGAAAAGCUUGGAGAGACAAAUCCAAGCUUUGGUUUCUUCUUUCUACAUCCAGUGACUCUUUACAAUGAAAUGUUUAAUAAUA